UUGAACGUAAAGGGAGAGAUUACCGCAGGAUUCUUGUUCUGAGCUUCUGAGCAGAGACAUUAUCCGCAUGGUAACGCCGAAGGAGUAAGCCCAUUGAUAAGCAAAGGGUGAAUCUCUCAGGCAAAAGGACUUUUACCGGACG
RNAcentral lists this non-coding RNA (142 nucleotides) under Paenibacillus sp. RNAcentral's name for it is "Glycine sequence". It matches the Rfam family "Glycine riboswitch aptamer". Rfam says of the family: This family represents the bacterial glycine riboswitch. Glycine riboswitches usually consist of two metabolite-binding aptamers domains with similar structures in tandem. RNAcentral also lists the same sequence under 1 other name. Lineage: Bacteria; Bacillati; Bacillota; Bacilli; Caryophanales; Paenibacillaceae. The record is from RNAcentral.